RNAcentral lists this ribosomal RNA (479 nucleotides) under uncultured bacterium. RNAcentral describes it as "partial 16S ribosomal RNA". It matches the Rfam family "Bacterial small subunit ribosomal RNA", at positions 28 to 507 of the family's 1533-position model. The record is from RNAcentral.
GAUGAACGCUAGCGGCAGGCCUAACACAUGCAAGUCGAGCGGCAUUGUUCCUUCGGUAGUGAGCGUGCGGCAUACGGGUGCGUAAGACGUGUGCAACCUGCCUUUAUCUGGCGGUUAGCCUUACCUACGGACACAUCCUACUCCCUCAUAUAUUGCUCUGCAUCGCUUACUAUUGACAGUUCCGGCGGGUAGUCAUGAGCACUCGGAAGUAUAGCCAGUGAGUGAGUUAACUGCGCACCAAGGCGAUGAUCCUUAGGGGGCCUGAGAGGGGGAUCCCCCACACUGGUACUGGGACACGGACCAGACUCCGACGGCAGGCAGCAGUGAGGAACAGUGGUCAAUGGGUGCAAGCCUGAACCAGCCAUCCCGCGUGAAGGACGACUCCCCUAUGGGUUGUAAACUUCUGUUGUAUAGGGAGAAACCUACCCACGUGAGGGUAGCGGAAGGUACUAGACGAAUAAGCACCGGCUAACUCCGUG